GUGAAGAACGCAGCGAAAUGCGAUAAGUAAUGUGAAUUGCAGAAUUCAGUGAAUCAUCGAAUCUUUGAACGCACAUUGCGCCCCUUGGUAUUCCGAGGGGCAUGCCUGUUCGAGCGUCAUUACACCACUCAAGCUAUGCUUGGUAUUGGGCGUCGUCCUUAGUUGGGCGCGCCUUAAAGACCUCGGCGAGGCCACUCCGGCUUUAGGCGUAGUAGAAUUUAUUCGAACGUCUGUCAAAGGAGAGGAACUCUGCCGACUGAAACCUUUAUUUUUCUAGGUUGACCUCGGAUCAGGUAGGGAUACCCGCUGAACUUAAGCAUAUCAAUAAGCGGAGGA
This 336-nucleotide unclassified non-coding RNA is filed under the name soil metagenome. RNAcentral describes it as "partial contains 5.8S ribosomal RNA, internal transcribed spacer 2, and large subunit ribosomal RNA". The stretch from base 2 to 119 matches the Rfam family "5.8S ribosomal RNA", at positions 37 to 154 of the family's 154-position model. The record is from RNAcentral.